Pimephales promelas (fathead minnow) is the source of this 221-nucleotide non-coding RNA. The record is from RefSeq and is a predicted model, not a curated record. Lineage: Eukaryota; Metazoa; Chordata; Actinopteri; Cypriniformes; Leuciscidae.
AGCAAUGGACAGUUUUGUUCAACAAACUCAUCAACUGGAAUCUUGAGUGCCUCAUUGAAAAAUUUGCUGAUUCGAAAGGCAUACUAGCACUUAAAACCUUGCCUGUCAUUCUUCCCCCGCCUGUGUACAAGAUUGGCCACAAAACCUUUCGGCCAACUAUUCAAGAGGCAAGAACCUCAUUCAUUGAUGUACAACCUUCUGGAACCAACAUGGUGCUUUAC